GGCUGCUGGACAAGCUUAAAAAAAGAAACCCUAGCAGCCUACCUUUUUAUUAAGCGCCUUGCCUUAUUGGGGUGCGCCUCAGUGAGGUUUUGCGCCUCAGCUGUCCCGAUGCGCUUAGGGCUGCGCCUGGUGCGCCUUGCGCCUGAGGCGCACCUCUUUAAUAACAGUGCAAGGUGCAUAAAAGGUAUGUUCUUUGACUUGAUCUAUAUAUACUAAGUUGGUGGGAUUUAAUUUAUUUGAAUAUUUAAUUUGCUACAUGUUAAUAUUGUGUUAAAAUGGGUACAAAGAUGGAGAGAAAGAUUGAGGAUGGUGAAGAUGUGAAAGAAUGGUCCAGCACAAAUGAAGUUGUAUUUCUAAGAAUAUUGUACGAAAGAGUUAAAAGGAUCCUAAUGGAACACCCAGUUUUAAACAAAAUGAUUGGCAAGAAAAUGAUGAUGAGCUAUAUUAAACAAUAGAAGAGAGAUAUGGUAUAGAUAAGCUAAAGGAAAAAUACAAUCGUCUUCUUGUAAAGCAUCGGCAAUUUUCUGAAUUGUUGGAGCAUACUGGUGUUACUUAUGAUUCAAGCUCAAACAUCUUUUUUGCCACAUAAGAUGUUUGGCAAAUGUUUUGUAAGGUAAUUUUUUAUUUUAAUUAUUUAAAGAAAU
RNAcentral lists this unclassified non-coding RNA (644 nucleotides) under Hevea brasiliensis (rubber tree). The record is from RNAcentral. Lineage: Eukaryota; Viridiplantae; Streptophyta; Magnoliopsida; Malpighiales; Euphorbiaceae.